Molecule: unclassified non-coding RNA, 921 nt
Filed under: Hevea brasiliensis (rubber tree)
Lineage: Eukaryota; Viridiplantae; Streptophyta; Magnoliopsida; Malpighiales; Euphorbiaceae
Source: RNAcentral
UUUUUCAUAUCUAAAUCUAAUUCAUUAUGAUUCAAAGCAUGAUACAUGGUGGAAUACAUUUUUUAAGUCAUGGUCUUCAUAUAUUUAUAUCUUCAAUUUAUAAUGAAUCGAAUUUAAACAAAAAAAUUUUUUAUGUCAUCGAUGUAUUUGAGCUGUCAUGCAUGCUCUGACCAAUAUUUUAAUUACUGUCCUUUCCUCUUGCCAUCCAUGUGCCAAAAAUAUGAAGUUGAGGAUAAUAACAUCCAAUUACUAAUUAAUGCAGAACAAAUGAUGUUGCAACAACUAACAAAAGCCAUAAUCCGAGUAGCAAAUUAAUAGAAAAUAUAAAGCAGAGCUGCUGCUCCGCAUUAUUCACUGGAGUAUGUAUAUAUAACUCAAUGUGCACUAGGCGCAUCUAAGCCUUCUGAUCCUGAAUAUAUUCAUCCACCUCCUUGAAGUUCUUUACUACAAAAUCCUUAAUCACGUGUGGGACUUCAACAUCGUCGCUCGCCUUCUCAUACUCACAGCUCCAUUUCACCAAGCUUUCACCAUUUUCCUUUGCACAAACAAAUAUGAAGCCCUUGAAGAUCUUGUAGAAUUUCAGGAGGUCACCUUCAAUCACACUGUAAGCGACGUGCUUAGUUGCUUCGUCAACAGCAUCGAUCCUCUCUUUCGAUACCUUAACAAGCGGAGAACCUUCAGCAUAAGUGAAGAGGCGAACAGUACCAGGAGCCUUUCCAUCGCCUUCGAGUACUUGAAUGUUCUUGUAUUGGUCAGGAAAGACCUUAGGGAAGAGAGUUGUGGAGUUCCUAAUGCUAUUCCAGAACUUAUCUGGAGAAGACUUGAUAUGAACUUCUACAUCAAGCUUUCCACUAGAGGCCAUAUUGGGAUGAUGCACAAAAGAAAUUAGAUGAACAAGAGAGGGAUCGAUCACUUGCCCAA